AAUUUUUCGAAGGAACUCAAAAAACUUACUAUGAAGUUUCUACAGAAGAAUUAAGGCCUAUGCAGAUGUGGGAAAACUUCCUAAAUUUUCCUGAAGAACCUCUACAGACGAGCUGUGCAAACAUGAUACACUUUUCUCAGAGUUAUGGAGGAAAUAGAAUGGAAUAUAAAUCUGACCCUCCAAAAGAGAAGUGCUGGGGCAAGAUAACUCAUAUCGUGAAAAUACACUAGAGGAAAGCAGCAGGUUCAAUUCUCACCCUGCUAAUUCUACCAGCUUCUGAUGAAUAGACUAACCAAAGAAUAGAAAUGAUUAAUCUAGACAAAAUACAAGUAAACCAUUCAAAGACAAUGAAAAAUGAAUGUUUUCUUUGGUUAUUUAUAUUCCAAAAAUGAGUGAAACAAUUUUUGGUUUUAGUACUUAUAAUUUAUAACUUGUAAUGUAUAAUUUAUAACUUAUAUUUCCUCAUCGAAGAGAAUGACCCAGAAUGUACUGCAAAGACAAAUUAUGCUAGGAAUGCCAUCUUGUGGUUGAGUAGUCCAUUAUAUUAACUGGUCAAUCCAGUGAUGAUCUUUAAUUUUGAAAUAAAACAGUAAAUUCACAAAUACAAAUCUUGGUUAAAAU
This is a long non-coding RNA of Talpa occidentalis (Iberian mole), 621 nucleotides long. RefSeq lists it as uncharacterized. Lineage: Eukaryota; Metazoa; Chordata; Mammalia; Eulipotyphla; Talpidae. The transcript has 3 exons. The record is from RefSeq and is a predicted model, not a curated record.